GCGUCGCUGGUGUAAUGAUAUCAUGCAGAAUUCCCAUUCUUGCAAUCCGGGUUUGAUUCCCGAGCGACGUA
Non-coding RNA from Cordylochernes scorpioides, 71 nucleotides. Lineage: Eukaryota; Metazoa; Arthropoda; Arachnida; Pseudoscorpiones; Chernetidae. The record is from the annotation of a GenBank genome assembly.